RNAcentral lists this transfer RNA (55 nucleotides) under Erethistes sp. 2 JPS-2008. Its description in RNAcentral is "partial tRNA-Ser". The record is from RNAcentral. Lineage: Eukaryota; Metazoa; Chordata; Actinopteri; Siluriformes; Sisoridae.
AAAGAGGCCAAAAGCAACAAGAACUGCUAAUUCUUGCCCCCGCAGUUAAACUCCG